RNAcentral lists this ribosomal RNA (746 nucleotides) under uncultured bacterium. RNAcentral's name for it is "bacterial SSU rRNA". It matches the Rfam family "Bacterial small subunit ribosomal RNA", at positions 33 to 773 of the family's 1533-position model. The record is from RNAcentral.
ACGCUGGCGGCAGGCCUAACACAUGCAAGUCGAGCGGCAGCCGGGUACUUGUACCUGGUGGCGAGCGGCGGACGGGUGAGUAAUGCCUAGGAAUCUGCCUGGUAGUGGGGGAUAACGUUCGGAAACGGACGCUAAUACCGCAUACGUCCUACGGGAGAAAGUGGGGGAUCUUCGGACCUCACGCUAUCAGAUGAGCCUAGGUCGGAUUAGCUAGUUGGUGAGGUAAUGGCUCACCAAGGCGACGAUCCGUAACUGGUCUGAGAGGAUGAUCAGUCACACUGGAACUGAGACACGGUCCAGACUCCUACGGGAGGCAGCAGUGGGGAAUAUUGGACAAUGGGCGAAAGCCUGAUCCAGCCAUGCCGCGUGUGUGAAGAAGGUCUUCGGAUUGUAAAGCACUUUAAGUUGGGAGGAAGGGCAGUAAAUUAAUACUUUGCUGUUUUGACGUUACCGACAGAAUAAGCACCGGCUAACUCUGUGCCAGCAGCCGCGGUAAUACAGAGGGUGCAAGCGUUAAUCGGAAUUACUGGGCGUAAAGCGCGCGUAGGUGGUUUGUUAAGUUGAAUGUGAAAUCCCCGGGCUCAACCUGGGAACUGCAUCCAAAACUGGCAAGCUAGAGUAUGGUAGAGGGUGGUGGAAUUUCCUGUGUAGCGGUGAAAUGCGUAGAUAUAGGAAGGAACACCAGUGGCGAAGGCGACCACCUGGACUGAUACUGACACUGAGGUGCGAAAGCGUGGGGAGCAAAC